RNAcentral lists this ribosomal RNA (253 nucleotides) under uncultured bacterium. Its description in RNAcentral is "partial 16S ribosomal RNA". It matches the Rfam family "Bacterial small subunit ribosomal RNA", at positions 524 to 776 of the family's 1533-position model. The record is from RNAcentral.
UACGUAGGGUGCAAGCGUUGUCCGGAAUUAUUGGGCGUAAAGAGCUCGUAGGCGGUUUGUCGCGUCUGCUGUGAAAACCCGAGGCUCAACCUCGGGCCUGCAGUGGGUACGGGCAGACUAGAGUGCGGUAGGGGAGAUUGGAAUUCCUGGUGUAGCGGUGGAAUGCGCAGAUAUCAGGAGGAACACCAAUGGCGAAGGCAGAUCUCUGGGCCGUAACUGACGCUGAGGAGCGAAGGCUAGGGGAGCGAACGGG